RNAcentral lists this ribosomal RNA (1388 nucleotides) under uncultured prokaryote. RNAcentral's name for it is "partial 16S ribosomal RNA". It matches the Rfam family "Bacterial small subunit ribosomal RNA", at positions 74 to 1442 of the family's 1533-position model. The record is from RNAcentral.
UACCGCUUCGGUGCGCUCAGUGGCGGAAGGGUUAGUAAUACAUGGAUAACCUGCCCUUUACUCGGGGAUAACAGUUGGAAACGACUGCUAAUACCCGAUGAGGGGCUUUAAGGGAUCUUACCUUCAUCAAAGUGGGGGACGCUUCGGACCUCGCGGUUUUUGAGGGGCUCAUGCGAUAUCAGCUUGUUGGUGUGGUAAAAGCGCACCAAGGCUAAGACGUCUAGGCGGAUUGAGAGAUUGACCGCCAACACUGGGACUGAGACACUGCCCAGACUCCUACGGGAGGCUGCAGUCGAGAAUCUUUCGCAAUGGGCGAGAGCCUGACGAAGCGACGCCGUGUGAACGAAGAAGGCCUUAGGGUCGUAAAGUUCUUUCGCCUGGGAACAAAGAAUGCGGAUUAAUACUGCGCAGACUUGAGGGUACCAGGUAAAGAAGCACCGGCUAACUCCGUGCCAGCAGCUGCGGUAAUACGGAGGGUGCAAGCGUUAAUCGGAAUUAUUGGGCGUAAAGAGUGCGUAGGCGGGGAUAUAAGUCAGGCGUGAAAUCCCAGAGCUUAACUUCGGAACUGCACUUGAAACUGCGAGGCUAGAGUGUCGGAGAGGUAAGUGGAAUUCCACAUGUAGCGGUGAAAUGCGUAGAUAUGUGGAGGAACACCCGUGGCGAAGGCGGUUUUCUAGCUUAUUCCUGACGCUGAGGCGCGAAAGCAAGGGGAGCAAACAGGAUUAGAUACCCUGGUAGUCCUUGCCGUAAACGAUGCAUACUUGGUGUAGUCGGACUCAACCCCGACUGUGCCGGAGCUAACGUGUUAAGUAUGCCGCCUGGGGAGUACGCUCGCAAGGGUGAAACUCAAAAGAAUUGACGGGGACCCGCACAAGCAGUGGAGCAUGUGGUUUAAUUCGAUGCAACGCGAAGAACCUUACCCAGGCUUGACAUGUAGUGGACGGAAUCAGAGAUGAUUCUUCUCGUAUGGGCCGCUACACAGGUGCUGCAUGGCUGUCGUCAGCUCGUGCCGUGAGGUGUUGGGUUAAGUCCCGCAACGAGCGCAACCCUUAUCGCUAGUUGCCAGCACGUAAUGGUGGGAACUCUAACGAGACUGCCUAGGUUAACUAGGAGGAAGGUGAGGAUGACGUCAAGUCCGCAUGGCCCUUAUGUCUGGGGCUACACACGUGCUACAAUGGCCGGUACAAAAGGCAGCGAAGCCGUAAGGUGGAGCAAAUCUCCAAAAGCCGGUCUCAGUUCGGAUUGUCGUCUGCAACUCGACUUCAUGAAGCCGGAAUUGCUAGUAAUGGCGUGUCAGCAAUAACGCCGUGAAUACGUUCCCGGGUCUUGUACACACCGCCCGUCACAUCAUGGAAGUUGGUUUUACCCGAAGUCGUUGACUCAACCGC